CCUACGGGUGGCAGCAGUGGGGAAUAUUGCGCAAUGGGCGAAAGCCUGACGCAGCGACGCCGCGUGAGGGAUGAAGGUCUUCGGAUCGUAAACCUCUGUCAGCAGGGAAGAACGGUCACUGUGCUAAUCAGCAGUGAAUUGACGGUACCUGCAAAGGAAGCACCGGCUAACUCCGUGCCAGCAGCCGCGGUAAUACGGAGGGUGCGAGCGUUAAUCGGAAUUACUGGGCGUAAAGCGCUCGUAGGCGGUAUGUCAAGUCAAGGGUGAAAUCCCCGCGCUCAACGUGGGAACUGCCUUUGAAAAUGGCAAACUGGGGGGUGUGAGAGGGUAGUGGAAUUCCAGGUGUAGGAGUGAAAUCCGUAGAUAUCUGGAGGAACAUCAGUGCCGAAGGCGACUAUCUGGCACAUAACUGACGCUGAGGAGCGAAAGCGUGGGUAGCAAACAGGAUUAGAUACCCCAGUAGUC
RNAcentral lists this ribosomal RNA (465 nucleotides) under uncultured bacterium. RNAcentral's name for it is "partial 16S ribosomal RNA". It matches the Rfam family "Bacterial small subunit ribosomal RNA", at positions 338 to 795 of the family's 1533-position model. The record is from RNAcentral.